This 403-nucleotide ribosomal RNA is filed under the name uncultured bacterium. RNAcentral's name for it is "bacterial SSU rRNA". It matches the Rfam family "Bacterial small subunit ribosomal RNA", at positions 355 to 775 of the family's 1533-position model. The record is from RNAcentral.
UAGGGAAUAUUAGUAAUGGGCGAAAGCCUGAACUAGCAACGCCGCGUGUGCGAAGAAGGCCUUCGGGUUGUAAAGCACUUUUUGAGAGGAUGAGGAAGGACGGUACUCUCAGAAUAAGUCUCGGCUAACUACGUGCCAGCAGCCGCGGUAACACGUAGGAGGCGAACGUUAUCCGGAUUUACUGGGCGUAAAGCGCGUGUAGGUGGUUUGGUAAGUAGGGCGUGAAAGCUCCUGGCUCAACUGGGAGAGGCCGUUCUAAACUGGCGAACUAGAGGAUGGUAGAGGGAGGUGGAAUUCCGGGUGUAGCGGUGGAAUGCGUGGAUAUCCGGAGGAACACCAGUGGCGAAAGCGGCCUCCUGGACCAUUCCUGACACUCAGACGCGAAAGCGAGGGUAGCAAACGG